GCCGAAGUAGCUCAAUGGUAGAGCAAUGGUUUUGUAAACCAUAGGUUGGGGGUUCGACUCCCUUCUUCGGCUCCA
RNAcentral lists this transfer RNA (75 nucleotides) under Candidatus Zophobacter franzmannii. RNAcentral's name for it is "tRNA-Thr". It matches the Rfam family "tRNA". Rfam says of the family: Transfer RNA (tRNA) molecules are approximately 80 nucleotides in length. Their secondary structure includes four short double-helical elements and three loops (D, anti-codon, and T loops). Lineage: Bacteria; Pseudomonadati; Candidatus Cloacimonadota; Cloacimonadia (SeqCode); Cloacimonadales (SeqCode). The record is from RNAcentral.